AAGGGCGAUAAGUAAUGUGAAUUGCAGAAUUCAGUGAAUCAUCGAAUCUUUGAACGCACCUUGCGCUCUCUGGUAUUCCGGGGAGCACACCUGUUCGAGUGUCAUUAAGACUCUCAAAUAAAGGUAGCUUUGCAGCUAUCUCUGUUUGGAUUUGGGCUUUGCUGCAUUAAUGUGGCUAGUCUUAAAUGUAUUAGCUGAUCCUCAUUGAGGGUUUGGUUCUACUCAGCGUGAUAAUUAUUUAACGUUGAGGACAGUCUUUAGAACUGGCCAUAGCCUCUAUCUGGAUUGCUUCUAAACUGUCUUGAGGACAAUUGCUUAAUUUCUGACCUCGAAUCAGGUGGGACUACCCGCUGAACUUAA
RNAcentral lists this ribosomal RNA (360 nucleotides) under uncultured fungus. Its description in RNAcentral is "eukaryotic LSU rRNA". The stretch from base 1 to 104 matches the Rfam family "5.8S ribosomal RNA", at positions 51 to 154 of the family's 154-position model. Lineage: Eukaryota; Fungi. The record is from RNAcentral.